Molecule: long non-coding RNA, 2063 nt
Organism: Monopterus albus (swamp eel)
Lineage: Eukaryota; Metazoa; Chordata; Actinopteri; Synbranchiformes; Synbranchidae
Exons: 6
Source: RefSeq, a predicted model, not a curated record
GACCCCAGACCGCGGAAGCAACCCCGGAAGAAAAACAAAUUUGUGUAUGUCAGGCGAGCAACAUUCAGUGGGGAAAAUGAAUACAAUAAAUGAAUGUAUUAACGUUAUGAUAAAAACGUCCUCACAAUACAUACAUUGAACAAUCUCCUACCCUUUCUCCUUAAUACAUCCGUGGGAAGAAUGGUCUCCAUCUUGUGAUUCAGUAUCCAGCUGUUUUAUAAUAUAUUGUUGGGACGUACAAGGGUUGAAUUUAGUUUAUUGUUAUUAUCGGUCCUAUUGGUGUUUUUGUCUGGUUGACACAAUGAAGAUAAACAAGAAGACUCUACUGGAGGGACACAAAGUUGUGUUGGUUCCUUACAAUGCAAACCACGUGGCCAGGCAUCAUGAACGGAUGAAGCGUCCUGAGCUGCAGCAUCUGACCGCCUCAGAGCCACUGACCCUGGAACAGGAGUACGACAUGCAGGGGAGCUGGAGGGAAGAUGAUGGCAGUAAGACUUCUUCUGCAGUAAAUGUACACACAGAACAUGCCCUUAUUCAUCCUCUAAAGCAGUUGUUAUAAAUCUAAAGGCUUGCCAGACUUAGCAUUUAGCCUUAGAUUUUUUUCAUGUGAGUAACUGGACACCUUUAUUUCUCUGAAAACUACCUAAAUAAAACAGAGAGAGAAAAGAAUCUUUGGUUGAACUAAGCAUACAGCAAUGGCUGGAAAGAUAAAUCUGAUAAAACGUCUUUUACUUUUGUUAACUUAUUCUAAGUUAGAGUAACAAGUUUUUAACAUUCAGAAUUUUUACAAUGCCUACAUAAAUCAGCUAACACAUUGCCUAAAUAACAGUAGCUUACUUAAGACAACUUAGGAUAGGAUAAAGUGAAAUAUGAUUCAGUGACAUUUGCUUUAUGAGGUCAACACUGCUUUCAAGUUCUGUCCUUAUGGCUUCCAAAUCAUUCUUUCCAUCCAUACUAUCAUCCAUCGCUCGGUUCUGAUUCCUUAGACAGAAACUACAUUUGACAACGUGUGAUAAGCUGCAUUGCUAGAUUUGCCAAAGCAGCUGAAAACUGUAAAUUCUUACAUUUAUCUCUGUACAGUAUUUAUUUGAAACCCCUCUUUGUUCAUACUAAAUAUUAGUGGUUUUAGGUUUUAUUAAAAAAAUGGUAGGAAUAAGCCACAGUUUUGCCUAAAAGCCUAAAACAUGUCUUGUAACUUUUCUUUUUCCUACUCCUUCUCCUGAGCACGCGGUAAGGCUGCCCUUUAGUGGUGGCACACAGCAUUACACCAAUCUUAACAAGUGACCCAUUAGUGCCUGCUAGUCAAAUGAAUGGCAAUUUAAUGGUACAAAUAGCAAUGUAUGUACAUCGUCACAAUUUUUGUGAGCAUGUGUAGGAUAGAUUUGUAUGUAAAAACGUUUUUGAGCGUGUAAAUAAAAUCUGUAAACAAAUUAUGUUACACAAAGACACUGAAAACAAGCGUGUUUGUGAACAUUUGUGUACAGACAAAGUACUGAGGUUUAGUGUGAAUCACACCCGAAUCUGAUUGGACAGUGACAGUCUAAUCACAGAGCAGAGUCAAAUUGACCAAUCAGGUGGUAGCUGGGCUCUUCAUUUGAGUAUCCGGUGGCGGUUCUGUAAGUUUGCUGGAGAUUCAAGAUUGAGGACAGCGGCAGUUGUUUUGCUACUCAGGUGGGAUACUUUAUCUAGCGUUAGCCGAAUGCUAACGUAGGACGUUAGCAAACCUCUGCUAGCAAGAGAAUUUUCAAGGCUCGAUAAAAACGCCGGCCAGUUUGGACCUCAAAUUGUUUGCACCUGUAUGUUUCUGCCCUGAUGAAGACCCGGUGAGGUCCAGACCGUUCGGCGUCUUUUUACUGAGAUGCCCUGUUGCAGGCCACGGCCCUUGUCCCUCCUACAUAUGGACCUCAAGUGAGACAAGUUCAGAGGGACCAUUUUCCAGGUGUGGACAGCGAGGGUCUACACAGGGAUAUGAGUGAAGAACCAAGAGACCUGAUAUCUUAAAUGUAACAAGCAGAACCAGACAGUUGGGUCAUAAUAGCUUUAUUGAACUUGAAGAAAAUUUC